UUAUUAAACUAUUACACAGUUAGGUAAUUAUUUACAAAUACUUUCUUCAAAUCAAAAAGAUAGUCCGCUUAUUUAUGAUUGUCAACAAUGCUUUUUAAUUUUUGACAUCUUUUAACCUUGGUCAACUUUUGAAUGAUUGUCAUCUCUUUAAUAUUGUCAUAGUAUGACCUUGGUCAUCUUUUUAAUCAUUAUCUUUUUAAUCGCCAUCUUUUGUCAUCGUUUUAAUCUUUGUCAACGUUUUCUCGUUUUGAUCGUUUUCAUCGUUUUGCCGUAGUCAACUUUUGGACGUAGUCAACUUUUUGACAUCAGCAGCUUAAUCAGCGUUUGGCAUCGUUGCGGCAGCAGAUCAGCUCUCCCACGUAAUUUCUCGAGAAAUUACUUUUUCUAGUUAAUGUUUUAAUGUCUUAUUUUGGAUUUUUUUUAAUCUCUCUUCCUUGCAAUCUGCCCUCUGCCUGCCCACCUACACUCACAGUUUGCCAGAUUGUCUGAUCAUUACCACAGAGUUCAUACCCUCGCUGCCUCCUGCCUAUAAACUAUUAGCCUUGUUCCUGUAGCCUCUGUUUCUGUGUGAAGUAACUUUAACCCUUUCCUGCCAUUUUGCCUUUUGUUUUGUGCUUUGUGUCUCUGUGCUCACUUUGCUGUGUUUCUGUUGUAGUGUUUUUUCACUUGGACUGUUACAGUAAUAAGUAUUUUGCAGAUUCGCAAACAGAAUUAUAUAAUAACAUUGUAUAUGUAUGUAAUGUCUUAAUUUACAAUAAGAUUUUACACUUUGGCAGGAAACUGUCACAGUCCCUGGUCCUGUUCCUUGUUUUAUUUUGAGUUCCUUACGUUCGGUAGUGUCUGGUUCUAGUCCCUGGUUUUAUUUUGAAGUCCUUCCGGUCUGUCACGUUUUGGUUCUGAUCUCCGUCAUUAUGUUGAAAGGACUUCCUGUUCAUGUCAUGUCACAGCUGUUCCCUGUUUCUACCGGUCAUUCUACCGGGCAGCCACACCUGCAUGUCAUCAUUAAUCAGUUCAGUAUAUUUAAGCACCACCUCUCACUCUAGCGCCUCGCCAGAUUGUUUAGCUCGUGUUAGUCACCACUUUCAUUGAUCUAGUCCCGUCGUGUACCGUGUAUCUUGUUUCUGACCUCCGAUUCCCUGUCUGCCUUGUCUGCCCUGGUUUUCUGAUCUUGUCUGUUACCGACCUUGUCUGCCUGCCGGACCACGACUCUACGCCUGACGGAUUGGUAUUGUAAAUCAGUCUCUCGUGUACGAACCUUGCCUGUCCCUGACACCGAUUCUGCCUGCUCCCGUAUAACGCUGUAUGAACUGUCCGUGUAUGAUCCUGCCUGAUCUCGACACUGAGUUGGAAUAAAUUCCUUUUGCUAUUUGCUCAUAUCCCAGCCUGUCCGUGUCGUGCAUGUGGGUCCGCCGCCUUGACGUUCUGACAGAAACAAAGGGACAACAACAAAGUGGUCUUUACAUAUGUAAACAAAUGUAUAAACAAAUUAUACAACAGAAGUGUUGUUUCUUAAACAUUAUUUAAAAAUAGAAGGAAACCGCUAUUAAACAUUACAGCAUAUACAUUUGGACCUGGUUUGAUUAAUGUCAUGUCAUCUGGGGUGUGAUCCAGAAGGCAGGGUUGAUUAACCUUCUACUAAACCCUGAACUCUUGGUUGAUUAACCCAGAAACUGCUUACCCUGAGUAUGUUGGUUCCAAAACACCUGAGAAUUGUUAGGUUAAUUUACCUCCUGUCGGUAACCCAGAGUUAACACACGUGCACGGCGUAUAUAUAAAGACAUUGUCAAUGGAUCGCCAAAUUCACAAGUCAUCAUGGAGAAUCGAAGCAACACGAAAACGGCAGCAUAUUUUAACCACGGAGUUGGAGGUUUUAAUGCAGAGAAUGAAGAAUCUAAGCCGAGUUGAGAGUUAAGAGAGAGUUGGCUUGGCUAAAAAAAUAAAGGUGUAAUCCUUCUGGAGCAAGAGGAACUCGUUCCCCAGUCAAAAUGAAACACAAAAUCCUAUAAAAAGCUAAUAGAAUGAAGGCAGAGGCUUGUCUGACAGGUGGGGGACCACCACCACCUCCCUUCACCCCAUCUGAGGAGCUGGCUCAACAGUAAAAAUCUGCUUAACAGUAGUAUGCAGGCUUAUUUUAUUUACAAUGUUGUAGUACUCUGACUUUAUUUUACAUUGAUCAUAUGGGUUGCAUUGUCUUGCAGUCACUGAUGGACGGAUUGCAUUAUUGUACCCUCCAGAAAGCACACAGUCUGGGACAUUAUGUAAAGCAAAUGUAAAUAAUAUACCAUUUUAUUUUUCGACUUAUUUUAGAUGAGUGAUUUUUUGCAGAAACCUUAAUAAAAGUGAUUUUGACAAAUCAUUGUGUCUUCCAUCUCUGAGGUCUACUUGGUUCACUACUGGAUCCUUAUGGUCAUCUUCAUCAAGACAAGGAGGGUGGCUCUCCUCGUAUUGUGGCAAUUUUGUGAAGGAUAACACAAGCCACUAUAAUGUCACAUGCCCUCUAUAGACUGACCCUGAGGCCACCUAAACACUGGAACCUCGCCUUCAGGAUGCCUGUGGUCAUCUCCAACUUGGCCUGUGUGUAACGACCCUAGUCAUUUUGCUUUCGCAUUAGUGAUGAGAUGGGUUGCAUCACGCAAAAAAACAAAGAGCUACGCACAGAAUGCUUUCUGUGGUAAGUGCAGACUUAAGAUUGAAGUGAAAGGUUUCAAAAGGUUCAGUGAAUAAAUUAAUGAUUCUUUAGAGAAACAAUAACACUCCUUCAAAUAAUCAUCAGUAUAUGAAAAAACAUCUAUACGUGGUCUUAUGACCCUCUCACGGUGAAAAAAAACUCUAAUAAGCUGCGCCUCUACAUCCAUGGGCUUGUCAUCAAACGGGCACUAACUACCAUACCCUAAAACUUACCUGGGUAUGUCACAAAACCCACUUUCUGGAACACACCCCUGGUCUAUCCAACCAAGUGUUUCCAGGGUUUGAGUGUAGGAGCAUCUGUUCAUAAAGUCCAAGGAAAGCAACACCUUCUGUUUGCACAUCAGUGGAUUGUGAUUACCAACCUGUCUUCUCACAGCCUGGGGGCUGUGUUUACGAGGCCUGAUGCCAGAGCAAAUGUUGGUCAGCAGUUGGUCAGCAGUAACCUACGUCACUCCUACUCUGGGGUUUUCUCCUGGUGAGGACUUGAGCUUUGCAUGUGUAUGAAGAUCCAUCGUCACUUGUGUUCUUUCUUUUCUUUCAGAGUUUUCUGCAUCAAGCUCUACAUGGGCCGUGCUCUGACGCAUAACAUGUCGCAUGGCAUCAAAUGUCCGCUGCUGUAUUAUGGGCUGUAUGCGACUAAGGCCAACGCUUGCCUGUAUGAAUCACACUGUGUCUGAGCUAUUUGUGUGCCAACAUAAUUCAAUAGAAGGAGAGUACUGUAUAUCAAACAUAU
Molecule: long non-coding RNA, 3421 nt
Organism: Betta splendens (Siamese fighting fish)
Lineage: Eukaryota; Metazoa; Chordata; Actinopteri; Anabantiformes; Osphronemidae
Exons: 3
Source: RefSeq, a predicted model, not a curated record